This is a non-coding RNA of Corylus avellana, 1234 nucleotides long. NCBI's taxonomy places the organism in Eukaryota, Viridiplantae, Streptophyta, Magnoliopsida, Fagales, Betulaceae. The record is from RefSeq and is a predicted model, not a curated record.
CUCUGAAUAUAUGAAGGAAAAAAGCCAAAAAAGAGCCCACCAAUACUAAUUCUAUAUGAACACCUUUGUUUUGUUUAUGUGGGUCAAUUCUAUGUGAAUACCUUCCAAAAAGCACAUUCUCUUAUACACCUCAUUAAGAAGGCAAAAAGCCAUUUGGUGGUCAUUAGAAAAGUAUAUGAAUAGCUAUUGGUUCAUUUGGAGCACCUAUAAACUCUCUCAAGUUCCCAUUCUAAGAUAUCGCUGUCUAUUCUAGUGGAGUUGUGUUGUUGUCAAAUGUUUUGUUUUUAGAGUGUCCCCGCCAUGGACCUAAGACCUUAAGCUCUCCUUAAACUUGUUUGCAAAGUUGAAAUUUGUACGGAUUUAAUGAACCAUCAAUGUAAAAUGGAUAAUGAACUUGUGCUGAUUCAAAAGUGGCCUGCAACAUGUUAUAAUUGAGGCUAGAGCUUAAUUUUGAAAUCCCCAACUCUUUUUUUUUUUUUUCCUUUCUUUCUUUUUGGUCUCUUUUUAACCUUUCCCUCAUUGCUGUUGAUUCGUAGCUUCUUAUGCAUACUUGUUGCUUAUGGUUUUUCAACUUGUGUAAGCUAUUAAUUGAUUUUGUGUCCAUUAAUACAAAAAUAAGUGAAUGCAGCAACACUGGGGGUGAACAUCUUCCAAUGCGCUCUCCAGAUCUUUGGGCUUGUGAGAAGCCUUUUUUUUUUUUUUUUCUUUUUUUGGAGAAUUCAUUCACAUGACAUCAUCUUGUUGGAAUUGUUGAGAUUGAUGAGGUGAAUUACAAGAGGGGAACAUAUCAAAGUAGAGGGUUUGGGUUUAUCACUAUGAGUACUGUAGAAGAAGCUGAGAAGGUUGUGGAGAUGUUCCACCAUUAUCUUUAUCUGAAGGCCAUUCAUGCUGUAUUGCAUCAGUUGUAGUCUUCGGCAUAGCCAUGAUGGGCCUCAACUUCUUGUAUAUUCAAUAUAUCUCUUUGCAUGUUCUGGUUGCACAAAACUCCUUAAUGUAAUCAGACUCAUGGGAUCGCAGGUCCUCAGCGUUUUCUAUGAUGAGUUGCUUGGUUGCCUAUUGUAAAUUAUUGGUGUACAAAUUCAUUACUAAAAUGUAUUCAAGUGAUACCCUAAAUAGGCUUAUUUUAUUAUUUUGCAAGUAUUUCGCAUGUUUGCAAAAAGGAAGAGGUUACAUUUUUCCUUUUAUGGGUCAACUGUAAACUAAUGUUGCAAGCUUGUAAAAUUCUCUUUGUUCU